This 466-nucleotide ribosomal RNA is filed under the name uncultured bacterium. Its description in RNAcentral is "partial 16S ribosomal RNA". It matches the Rfam family "Bacterial small subunit ribosomal RNA", at positions 28 to 507 of the family's 1533-position model. The record is from RNAcentral.
GACGAACGCUGGCGGCGCGCCUAACACAUGCAAGUCGAACGAGCGAGAGAGAGCUUGCUUUCUCGAGCGAGUGGCGAACGGGUGAGUAACGCGUGAGGAACCUGCCUCAAAGAGGGGGACAACAGUUGGAAACGACUGCUAAUACCGCAUAAGCCCACGACCCGGCAUCGGGUAGAGGGAAAAGGAGCAAUCCGCUUUGAGAUGGCCUCGCGUCCGAUUAGCUAGUUGGUGAGGUAACGGCCCACCAAGGCGACGAUCGGUAGCCGGACUGAGAGGUUGAACGGCCACAUUGGGACUGAGACACGGCCCAGACUCCUACGGGAGGCAGCAGUGGGGAAUAUUGCACAAUGGGGGAAAGCCUGAUGCAGCGACGCCGCGUGGAGGAAGAAGGUCUUCGGAUUGUAAACUCCUGUUGUUGAGGAAGAUAAUGACGGUACUCAAAAAGGAAGUGACGGCUAACUACGUG